AAGUGCGAGAGUAACUGCUCGCACCUUGACGGUACCUAACCAGAAAGCCACGGCUAACUACGUGCCAGCAGCCGCGGUAAUACGUAGGUGGCAAGCGUUGUCCGGAAUUAUUGGGCGUAAAGCGCGCGCAGGCGGUUUCUUAAGUCUGAUGUGAAAGCCCCCGGCUCAACCGGGGAGGGUCAUUGGAAACUGGGAAACUUGAGUGCAGAAGAGGAGAGUGGAAUUCCACGUGUAGCGGUGAAAUGCGUAGAGAUGUGGAGGAACACCAGUGGCGAAGGCGACUCUCUGGUCUGUAACUGACGCUGAGGCGCGAAAGCGUGGGGAGCGAACAGGAUUAGAUACCCUGGUAGUCCACGCCGUAAACGAUGAGUGCUAAGUGUUAGAGGGUUUCCGCCCUUUAGUGCUGCAGCUAACGCAUUAAGCACUCCGCCUGGGGAGUACGGUCGCAAGACUGAAACUCAAAGGAAUUGACGGGGGCCCGCACAAGCGGUGGAGCAUGUGGUUUAAUUCGAAGCAACGCGAAGAACCUUACCAGGUCUUGACAUCCUUUGCCACUUCUAGAGAUAGAAGGUUCCCCUUCGGGGGACAAAGUGACAGGUGGUGCAUGGUUGUCGUCAGCUCGUGUCGUGAGAUGUUGGGUUAAGUCCCGCAACGAGCGCAACCCUUGAUCUUAGUUGCCAGCAUUCAGUUGGGCACUCUAAGGUGACUGCCGGUGACAAACCGGAGGAAGGUGGGGAUGACGUCAAAUCAUCAUGCCCCUUAUGACCUGGGCUACACACGUGCUACAAUGGAUGGUACAAAGGGCUGCGAGACCGCGAGGUUUAGCCAAUCCCAUAAAACCAUUCUCAGUUCGGAUNGCAGGCUGCAACUCGCCUGCAUGAAGCUGGAAUCGCUAGUAAUCGCGGAUCA
Molecule: ribosomal RNA, 909 nt
Filed under: bacterium TSA46
Lineage: Bacteria
Description: bacterial SSU rRNA
Rfam family: Bacterial small subunit ribosomal RNA
Source: RNAcentral